UGGGAUAUAGCCAAGCGGUAAGGCAACGGACUCUGACUCCGUCAUUUCGUAGGUUCGAAUCCUACUAUCCCAGCGA
This 76-nucleotide transfer RNA is filed under the name Lachnospiraceae bacterium NK3A20. RNAcentral's name for it is "tRNA_Gln_CTG". It matches the Rfam family "tRNA". Rfam says of the family: Transfer RNA (tRNA) molecules are approximately 80 nucleotides in length. Lineage: Bacteria; Bacillati; Bacillota; Clostridia; Lachnospirales; Lachnospiraceae. The record is from RNAcentral.